UUACCAUUGUUAUAUGCCAGCCGCCGCGGUAAUUCUGGGUAACCUGCCUGUAAGACUGGGAUAACUCCGGGAAACCGGGGCUAAUACCGGAUGCUUGAUUGAACCGCAUGGUUCAAUUUUGAAAGGUGGCUUCGGCUACCACUUACAGAUGGACCCGCGGCGCAUUAGCUAGUUGGUGAGGUAACGGCUCACCAAGGCAACGAUGCGUAGCCGACCUGAGAGGGUGAUCGGCCACACUGGGACUGAAACACGGCCCAGACUCCUACGGGAGGCAGCAGUAGGGAAUCUUCCGCAAUGGACGAAAGUCUGACGGAGCAACGCCGCGUGAGUGAUGAAGGUUUUCGGAUCGUAAAACUCUGUUGUUAGGGAAGAACAAGUGCCGUUCUAAUAGGGCGGCACCUGGACGGUACCUAACCAAAAAGCCCCGGCUAACUACGUGCCACCACCCGCGAUAA
Molecule: ribosomal RNA, 455 nt
Filed under: Bacillus sp. GOD NKPN48
Lineage: Bacteria; Bacillati; Bacillota; Bacilli; Caryophanales; Bacillaceae
Description: bacterial SSU rRNA
Rfam family: Bacterial small subunit ribosomal RNA
Source: RNAcentral